CUUCCUUCGGGAAGGUAGACACUGGCGCACGGGUGAGUAACACGUAAGUCAUCUGCCCUUGGGUCUGGCACAACUCCAGGAAACCGGGGCUAAUUCCAGAUGAUACCGAAAGGUCAAAGUUUCGACGCCCAAGGAUGAGCUUGCGUCUGAUUAGCUAGUUGGCGGGGUAAUGGCCCACCAAGGCGACGAUCAGUAGCCGGUCUGAGAGGAUGAUCGGCCACAUUGGGACUGAGACACGGCCCAGACUCCUACGGGAGGCAGCAGUAAGGAAUAUUGCGCAAUGGACGAAAGUCUGACGCAGCAACGCCGCGUGCAGGAUGACGGCCCUUUGGGUUGUAAACUGCUGUAGCAGGGGAAUAAGAGCCCACUCGGUGGGUGUGAAGGUACCCUGAAAGUAAGCUCCGGCUAACUACGUGCCAGCAGCCGCGGUAAUACGUAGGGAGCAAGCGUUGUCCGGAUUCACUGGGUGUAAAGGGUGCGCAGGCGGGUUGGCAAGUCAGAGGUGAAAUCUCACAGCUUAACUGUGAAACUGCCUUUGAUACUUCCAAUCUUGAGUUAAAGAGAGGUUGAUGGAAUUUCAGGUGUAGCGGUGAAAUGCGUAGAUAUCUGAAAGAACACCAGUGGCGAAGGCGGUCAACUGGCUUUUAACUGACGCUCAGGCACGAAAGCGUGGGUAGCGAACAGGAUUAGAUACCCUGGUAGUCCACGCCCUAAACGAUGAAUACUUGGUGUUGGACCGUAAGGUUCAGUGCCGUAGGUAACCUGUUAAGUAUUCCACCUGGGGGAGUACGCCCGCAAGGGUGAAACUCAAAGGAAUUGACGGGGGCCCGCACAAGCGGUGGAGCAU
RNAcentral lists this ribosomal RNA (847 nucleotides) under uncultured bacterium. RNAcentral's name for it is "bacterial SSU rRNA". It matches the Rfam family "Bacterial small subunit ribosomal RNA", at positions 74 to 940 of the family's 1533-position model. The record is from RNAcentral.